RNAcentral lists this small RNA (117 nucleotides) under Marmota monax (woodchuck). Lineage: Eukaryota; Metazoa; Chordata; Mammalia; Rodentia; Sciuridae. The record is from RNAcentral.
GCUGGGAGUGCUGGUGCACAACGGUCGUCUCUGUGACUUGGAAGACGAUGCGGGAGGAUCACUUGAGCCUGGAAGUUCUAGGACUAGCUUGGGCCAUAAAGUGAGAUCCUGUUUCAA